GCGGGUGGAUUGCCUGAGCUCAGGAGUUCGAGACCAGCCUGGGCAACAUGGUGAAACCCCAUGUCUACUAAAAAUACAAAAAUUGGCCGGGUGUGGCAGCAUGCACCUGUAGUCCCAGCUACUCGGGAGGCUGAGGCAGGAAGGAGAAUCUCUUGAACCCGGGAGGCAGAGGUUGCAGUGAGCCGAGAUCGUGCCACUGCACUCCAGCCUGGACAACAGAGUGAGAUCCUAUCUCAAAAUAAAUACAUAAAUAAAAUAAAUAAAGAUUAAAAAAAAAGAAUUGGGUGGACCUUUGGGCAGUCCUUAAGGGAAAAUGACACAGGGUGAGGUAGUAACUUCCCUAGAGACCCACAGCCAGGUGGAAAUGACAGAGGCUGAAAUCCAAGGCGGAGACAGAGAGCGGGGAGGGAAGCCGGAGGUGGUCUAGGGAAGGGGCUGAGACUGAGAGUGGGGAGAGAAGCUGGAGGUGGCCCCAGGGAGGGGCCGAGACCACAGGGUGUAGAGGGGCAGGGAGAGGAGUCGGGGGCACCCGGGCGAGCCCCACCUGGCUGGCACACUUGUUCGUGCCCAUCUGGAGGCUGAUGGUCGAGUGGUCCAUGGGGGGCAGGAUAUGGUUCUUGGGGUCAUAGAGAUGCCUUCUCGUGCCGUAGGCAGUCAUGCCCGACUGGCUGGCGCAUUUGUUGGUGCCCAUCUGCAGGGAGGUUCGUGGGAGAGGUCAGACU
RNAcentral lists this long non-coding RNA (722 nucleotides) under Homo sapiens (human). RNAcentral describes it as "non-protein coding lnc-TMEM259-3:1". The record is from RNAcentral. Lineage: Eukaryota; Metazoa; Chordata; Mammalia; Primates; Hominidae.